Non-coding RNA from Ictidomys tridecemlineatus (thirteen-lined ground squirrel), 72 nucleotides. The record is from Rfam. Lineage: Eukaryota; Metazoa; Chordata; Mammalia; Rodentia; Sciuridae.
UGGGUUGUAGCUCAGUGGUAGAGUGCUUGCUUAGCAUGCAUGAGGCACUUGGUUCUAUCCUCAGCACCACAU